Molecule: long non-coding RNA, 793 nt
Filed under: Salvia miltiorrhiza (redroot sage)
Lineage: Eukaryota; Viridiplantae; Streptophyta; Magnoliopsida; Lamiales; Lamiaceae
Description: long non-coding RNA (SMIL_LNC002895)
Source: RNAcentral
UGACAACAUUUACUAUUUUUCAAAAAUCCAAGUUUUCGAUUGCUCAAAACUGCCGAAUAUGGUAGACUGUAGUAAAACAGUCAUAUCUCCUACAAUACUUCGAGUUUUUGACUCUACUUUUUUUUAUAUGAAAAUAGACUCGAUGACCUUUCUUUUGGUAUGAGUCUCGAGUCCAAGAGGUGUCGGAGUAAGAACAGGUUAGAUUUUGAAGUUGAGUCAGUGUAAAAAACAGAGCAUGUUUUGAUAAUGUUUGAUUGUGUUUUCUUAUGUGCCUUAUGUGAUUGUGUUGUCUAUGUGUUGAAUGAGAUUAGACGAGCCUUAUAUGAGAGAUAAAUCGAGACUUAGUACCAUGAUUUUCUUGAAACCUAUCCUUGAACUUAAGGAUUUGAGAUGAGUGGAGAGUUAAUAUAGAGUUGAGUAAAGAGAUAGAACAUGAGAUAGAGCAUGAGUUAAGGCUUUAUGAGUAUGGAUUUUAAAAGGAUUAAAAUGUUUUAAAUCAAUUCCUUUUUAAUGGAGUUUAAAAUGCUUAUUUAAGUCAUUUAUAAAUGAAUAAUGAGAAAUGCGUAAAGGAGUUCGUAAAUGAAUCGCGGCAUGAGAUUUUCAAUUUCCCUAGUAAACUAGGGAGAUAUUAUGAAGGAACAAGCAAUGAACGAGAUUCUCACCACCGAGUCACUACAACAAUUGGAGAAGGAAAAAGUUCACGCACAAACAAGAUAUGUACACCACCUCAAGAUGGAGGUAAAGAAAAAGGAAAUGGAAGGAAAGCACUAGAACUAAACUUAAGGUAUAACCC